This 254-nucleotide ribosomal RNA is filed under the name uncultured bacterium. RNAcentral describes it as "partial 16S ribosomal RNA". It matches the Rfam family "Bacterial small subunit ribosomal RNA", at positions 524 to 776 of the family's 1533-position model. The record is from RNAcentral.
UACGGAGGGGGCAAGCGUUGUUCGGAAUUACUGGGCGUAAAGGGCGCGCAGGCGGCUGCUCAAGUCAGGCGUGAAAGGCCUGGGCUCAACCCGGGAAUUGCGCUUGAGACUGGGCUGGCUUGAGUGCGGGAGAGGAUGGUGGAAUUCCCAGUGUAGAGGUGAAAUUCGUAGAUAUCAGGAAGAACACCCGUGGCGAAGGCGGAUCUCUGGGCCAUUACUGACGCUGAGGAGCGAAAGCGUGGGGAGCGAACAGG